Molecule: ribosomal RNA, 464 nt
Filed under: Listeria monocytogenes
Lineage: Bacteria; Bacillati; Bacillota; Bacilli; Caryophanales; Listeriaceae
Description: partial 23S ribosomal RNA
Rfam family: Bacterial large subunit ribosomal RNA
Source: RNAcentral
CUGAGUACGGCGGAACACGUGAAAUUCCGUCGGAAUCCGGGAGGACCAUCUCCCAAGGCUAAAUACUCCCUAGUGACCGAUAGUGAACCAGUACCGUGAGGGAAAGGUGAAAAGCACCCCGGAAGGGGAGUGAAACAGUUCCUGAAACCGUGUGCCUACAAGUAGUUAGAGCCCGUUAAUGGGUGAUAGCGUGCCUUUUGUAGAAUGAACCGGCGAGUUACGAUUUGUUGCAAGGUUAAGCGGAAAAAGCGGAGCCGUAGCGAAAGCGAGUCUGAAUAGGGCGCAUAAGUAACAGGUCGUAGACCCGAAACCAGGUGAUCUACCCAUGUCCAGGAUGAAGGUAAGGUAAUACUUACUGGAGGUCCGAACCCACGCACGUUGAAAAGUGCGGGGAUGAGGUGUGGGUAGCGGAGAAAUUCCAAUCGAACUUGGAGAUAGCUGGUUCUCUCCGAAAUAGCUUUAGG